This 107-nucleotide microRNA precursor is filed under the name Canis lupus familiaris (dog). Its description in RNAcentral is "mir-8834 microRNA precursor family". It matches the Rfam family "mir-8834 microRNA precursor family". The record is from Rfam by way of RNAcentral. Lineage: Eukaryota; Metazoa; Chordata; Mammalia; Carnivora; Canidae. RNAcentral also lists the same sequence under 1 other name.
AGGAGGAACAACAAUAGUGUCAGUGGUCAGCUCUGGAGCCCUGGAUUCAGCUCCUGCAGUAACUAUGGAGCUCUCAGUCUGCAGGGGCCUAGAUGCUCCGGGGGUGG